RNAcentral lists this transfer RNA (83 nucleotides) under Thermochaetoides thermophila DSM 1495. RNAcentral's name for it is "tRNA-Leu (AAG) (tRNA-Leu-AAG-3-1)". It matches the Rfam family "tRNA". From Rfam's summary of the family: Transfer RNA (tRNA) molecules are approximately 80 nucleotides in length. The record is from RNAcentral. Lineage: Eukaryota; Fungi; Ascomycota; Sordariomycetes; Sordariales; Chaetomiaceae.
GGCAAGGUGGCCGAGUGGUCCAAGGCGCCACGUUAAGGCCGUGGUCUCGUUCAGGGGCGUGAGUUCGAAUCUCACCCUUGUCA